RNAcentral lists this ribosomal RNA (435 nucleotides) under uncultured bacterium. RNAcentral's name for it is "partial 16S ribosomal RNA". It matches the Rfam family "Bacterial small subunit ribosomal RNA", at positions 29 to 507 of the family's 1533-position model. The record is from RNAcentral.
AACGAACGCUGGCGGCAUGCCUAACACAUGCAAGUCGAACGAUCGCCUUCGGGGGUUAGUGGCGCACGGGUGCGUAACGCGGGGGAAUCUGCCCUUAGGUUCGCAAUAACAGCUGGAAACGGCUGCUAAUACCGGAUGAUAUCGCGAGAUCAAAGAUUUCUAGCCGGAGGAUGAGCGCGCGUUGGAUGAGGUAGUUGGUGGGUUAAAGUCCUACCAAGCCGACGUACCAUAGCUGGUCUGAGAGGCUGAUCCGCCACUCUGGGACUUAGACACGGCCCAGAAUCCUACGGGAGGCAGCAGUGGGGAAUAUUGGACAGUCGGCGCAAGCCUGAUGCAGCAAUGCCGCGUGAGCGAUGAAGGCCCUAGGGUUGUAAAGCUCUUUUACCCGGGAAGAUAAUGACUGUACCGGGAGAAUAAGCCCCGGCUAACUACGUG